This is a long non-coding RNA of Heterocephalus glaber (naked mole-rat), 1623 nucleotides long. RefSeq lists it as uncharacterized. NCBI's taxonomy places the organism in Eukaryota, Metazoa, Chordata, Mammalia, Rodentia, Bathyergidae. The record is from RefSeq and is a predicted model, not a curated record.
GGUCCUUGUCCAUGGCUGUGUUACUUUUGCUGUUACCACUUCAGAGAGUUCCAGGGAGAACAACUGAGAGCUCUUCAUGCUACUGACAACUUACAGUGAAGAUGAAAAUUGAAUGUUAAUAAAUGUGAACCUAUCACUUUGAUGGCUUUCCAACACAAGAAGACUUCAGAGGGAAACGUUUUCUUUAUUACAGUGGAUAGUAAGCAUGCCAUCUCUGUCAUUCAAAGUUAUUCAUUAUGGAAACAUGCUUAAAAAGAUCCAGAUGAAAAGACAGUCAGCGCUUCUGUUCCCAAGAUGUGUCAAAAUGUGAGAGGCCCACGGAUAAUUGCUUUCCAACAUAUUCUAUCAUUUGGAUGUACUUAAAGGCUUGUACAGAUUUAACCAGAAAAUGGAAAUAGAAGACAUAUACAUAAACAUAACUACAGAUCACCAGGUGUUGGCAAGAAGUCAAGAACAAAGAAGAAAACUAGCAUCGUAGAGAAAAGAUAAAAUUCUUAUGAAAGGAAAAUUUAAAACAGCCAUCUUCAACAGGAUUCCAGGGAAUACUGCAUCAUUAAAACAAAAGCAUGCUGCUAUAAAAAAAGAGUAACCAGAAAACCAGAAGAUUUCCUGGAAUUUAAAACAAUACUUCCAGAAGUAAAAUAUUUUAAAACCAUGAUUGUGGAAGCAAAAUUAUGCAUAGAAGGGCUGCCUGAUAGGUGAUCUGGAAAAUAAAAUCAUGUCAAGAAAAAUCUCCAAGAAUGAAAAAAGAAAGGACAGAUGAAAAUUAGAUGAUGUCUUUGAAAAUCUUUUGAAUAUAAUACUGUAUAUGAUGCUAUACUGCACUAUGUAGUAUAUACAUAUAUAUGUAUAUAUUACAACUAUAAAUGUAAUGUAAUACAUAGUGGAAGAAUUCUAGAUAUUUGAACACAAAGUUGGGGCAAACAUAGGCAUUUUAUGUAUAAAUAUGUGUGCAUAUCUGUGACCAUUAAUUAUGAGAUGUCAACUUGACCAGACUAAGAAAUGCCAAGGGGAUUUUUAAGCAUACUCUGGGUAUUCCCAGUCACGGGGGGCGACUGGAGGUAGUCUGUAUGGUCCUUUGCCCUUCUUCUCUGGAACUGUUUUCCUGCUUUUCUUUCUGGUCACCGUGAAGUAAGCAGCUUUGGUCCACCAUACCCUACUGCCAUUAUUUUCCUGCCUUAGAGCCACCAGCCAUGGACUGAAUCCCCUAAAACCAUGAAGCAAAUUAAACUUUUCCUCCUUAAGUUGUGGGUGGUGGGCAUUGUGUCCUAGUGAUAAGAAAGCUGUUAGAGAAUAUUGGUACCAAGAAUGCAGUCAAUGCUGUAAUUGUACCUGAGCAAUUCGAUGUCCAUGUACAUGUAUCGAACUAAGCAGUUACAUAAUAUCACUAAAUCUCUCUCUUCCAUAAGACCUUUUGUACUGUAGAAUUAUUUCUCACCAUUUUGGAAAUUAUACAGAUAUUUGGAAAUCACAAGAUGUAGUUUCAUAUAGGCUGGAUGUGUGGUUUCAUACAUUUCUGUGAUUAUAGGGACACAAUGACCUUUGCAUAGGUAUACAGGAGACAGACCAUGGUCAUUUCAUAAUCUGGAUCAGUUUUUCCAGCUUCUUCAAGAAGUGGCUAGA